Molecule: ribosomal RNA, 416 nt
Filed under: uncultured bacterium
Lineage: Bacteria
Description: bacterial SSU rRNA
Rfam family: Bacterial small subunit ribosomal RNA
Source: RNAcentral
AAUCAACGCUGGCGGCGUGCCUAACACAUGCAAGUCGAACGCGAAAGUCCCGCAAGGGAUCAAAAGUCCCGCAAGGGAUCAGUAGAGUGGCAAACGGGUGAGUAACACGUGGGUGACCUGCCUUCGAGCGGGGGAUAACGUCCCGAAAGGGACGCUAAUACCGCAUGACAUCCUGCCUUUGAAGAGGUGGAGAUCAAAAGCUGGGGGAUCGCAAGACCUAGCACUCGAAGAGGGGCCCGCGCCUGAUUAGCUAGUUGGUGGGGUAACGGCUCACCAAGGCUACGAUCAGUAUCCGGCCUGAGAGGGCGACCGGCCACACUGGGACUGAGACACGGCCCAGACUCCUACGGGAGGCAGCAGUGGGGAAUCUUGCGCAAUGGGCGAAAGCCUGACGCAGCGACGCCGCGUGAGGGAGU